GUUCUCGCUUCAGAGGCACAUACAAUAAAAUUGGAAUGAAACAGAGAAGAUUAGCGUGGCCUCUGCGUAAGGAUGACACGCAAAUUCGUGAAGCGUUUAAGGAAAAA
This 107-nucleotide small nuclear RNA is filed under the name Castor canadensis (American beaver). Lineage: Eukaryota; Metazoa; Chordata; Mammalia; Rodentia; Castoridae. The record is from RNAcentral.